GCCAGGUGUGGUGGCGCAUGCCUGUAGUCCCAGCUACUUGGGAGGCUGAGGUGGGAGGAUUGCUUGAGCCCAGGAGGUAGAGGCUGCAGUGAGCUAUCGUUGCACCACUGCACCCCAGCCUGGGUGACAGAGAAAGACCCUGUCUCUA
Molecule: non-coding RNA, 148 nt
Filed under: Gorilla gorilla gorilla (western lowland gorilla)
Lineage: Eukaryota; Metazoa; Chordata; Mammalia; Primates; Hominidae
Source: Rfam by way of RNAcentral